This 560-nucleotide ribosomal RNA is filed under the name uncultured bacterium. Its description in RNAcentral is "bacterial SSU rRNA". It matches the Rfam family "Bacterial small subunit ribosomal RNA", at positions 224 to 801 of the family's 1533-position model. The record is from RNAcentral.
GAUGAGCCCGCGUUGGAUUAGCUAGUUGGUGGGGUAAAGGCCUACCAAGGCGACGAUCCAUAGCUGGUCUGAGAGGAUGAUCAGCCACAUUGGGACUGAGACACGGCCCAAACUCCUACGGGAGGCAGCAGUGGGGAAUAUUGGACAAUGGGCGCAAGCCUGAUCCAGCCAUGCCGCGUGAGUGAUGAAGGUCUUAGGAUUGUAAAGCUCUUUCACCGGGGACGAUAAUGACGGUACCCGGAGAAGAAGCCCCGGCUAACUUCGUGCCAGCAGCCGCGGUAAUACGAAGGGGGCUAGCGUUGUUCGGAAUUACUGGGCGUAAAGCGCACGUAGGCGGAUAUUUAAGUCAGGGGUGAAAUCCCGGGGCUCAACCCCGGAACUGCCUUUGAUACUGGGUAUCUUGAGUGUGGUAGAGGUGAGUGGAAUUGCGAGUGUAGAGGUGAAAUUCGUAGAUAUUCGCAGGAACACCAGUGGCGAAGGCGGCUCACUGGACCACAACUGACGCUGAGGUGCGAAAGCGUGGGGAGCAAACAGGAUUGGAUACCCUGGUAGUCCACGCC